UAGGGAAUAUUGCACAAUGGGGAAGACCCUGAUGCAGCGACGCCGCGUGAAGGAAGAAGUAUCUCGGUAUGUAAACUUCUAUCAGCAGGGAAGACAAUGACGGUACCUGACUAAGAAGCCCCGGCUAACUACGCUGCCAGCAGCCGCGGUAAUACGUAGGGGCAAGCGUUAUCCGGAUUUACUGGGUGUAAAGGGAGCGUAGACGGAUCUGCAAGUCUGGAGUGAAAGCCCGGGGCUCAACCCCAGGCCAGGCUGCUUUGGAAUUGACUGUAGGUCUAGAGUGCCGGAGAGGUAAGCGGAAUUCCUAGUGUAGCGGUGAAAUGCGUAGAUAUUAGGAGGAACACCAGUGGCGAAGGCGGCUUACUGGACGGUAACUGACGUUGAGGCUCGAAAGCGUGGGGAGCAAACAGGAUUAGAUACC
This 421-nucleotide ribosomal RNA is filed under the name uncultured bacterium. RNAcentral's name for it is "bacterial SSU rRNA". It matches the Rfam family "Bacterial small subunit ribosomal RNA", at positions 355 to 786 of the family's 1533-position model. The record is from RNAcentral.